CUAGUAAUUAAAUUUUAAAUUAAUAAUACUCAAAUUUUCCUUUUUUUGUUAUGUUAUUAGAGGGUCUGCCCUA
RNAcentral lists this transfer RNA (73 nucleotides) under Prunus dulcis (almond). RNAcentral describes it as "tRNA-Thr". Lineage: Eukaryota; Viridiplantae; Streptophyta; Magnoliopsida; Rosales; Rosaceae. The record is from RNAcentral.